GUGCCAGCAGCCGCGGUAAUACGUAGGGUGCAAGCGUUAAUCGGAAUUACUGGGCGUAAAGCGUGCGCAGGCGGUUCGGAAAGAAAGAUGUGACAUCCCAGGGCUUAACCUUGGAACUGCAUUUUUAACUACCGGGCUAGAGUGUGUCAGAGGGGGGUGGAAUUCCACGUGUAGCAGUGAAAUGCGUAGAUAUGUGGAGGAACACCGAUGGCGAAGGCAGCCCCCUGGGAUAACACUGACGCUCAUGCACGAAAGCGUGGGGAGCAAACAGGAUUAGGUACCCUGGUAGUCCACGCCCUAAACGAUGUCAACUAGCUGUUGGGGCCUUCGGGCCUUGGUAGCGCAGCUAACGCGUGAAGUUGACCGCCUGGGGAGUACGGUCGCAAGAUUAAAACUCAAAGGAAUUGACGG
Molecule: ribosomal RNA, 411 nt
Filed under: uncultured bacterium
Lineage: Bacteria
Description: bacterial SSU rRNA
Rfam family: Bacterial small subunit ribosomal RNA
Source: RNAcentral